UGGGGAAUAUUGGACAAUGGGCGAAAGCCUGAUCCAGCAAUGCCGCGUGAGUGAUGAAGGCCUUAGGGUCGUAAAGCUCUUUUACCAGGGAUGAUAAUGACAGUACCUGGAGAAUAAGCUCCGGCUAACUCCGUGCCAGCAGCCGCGGUAAUACGGAGGGAGCUAGCGUUGUUCGGAAUUACUGGGCGUAAAGCGCGCGUAGGCGGUUACCCAAGUCAGAGGUGAAAUCCCGGAGCUCAACUCCGGAACUGCCUUUGAAACUAUGUAACUAGAAUCUUGGAGAGGCGAGUGGAAUUCCGAGUGUAGAGGUGAAAUUCGUAGAUAUUCGGAAGAACACCAGUGGCGAAGGCGACUCGCUGGACAAGUAUUGACGCUGAGGUGCGAAAGCGUGGGGAGCAAACAGG
This 404-nucleotide ribosomal RNA is filed under the name uncultured bacterium. RNAcentral describes it as "partial 16S ribosomal RNA". It matches the Rfam family "Bacterial small subunit ribosomal RNA", at positions 355 to 776 of the family's 1533-position model. RNAcentral also lists the same sequence under 2 other names. The record is from RNAcentral.